UUAAUGCGCCCAAUCUCGUCAGAUCUCGGAAGCAAAGCA
This 39-nucleotide ribosomal RNA is filed under the name Aotus nancymaae (Ma's night monkey). The record is from RNAcentral. Lineage: Eukaryota; Metazoa; Chordata; Mammalia; Primates; Aotidae.